GGGUUGUGAGGUUAAGCGACUAAGCGUACACGGUGGAUGCCCUGGCAGUCAGAGGCGAUGAAGGGCGUGCUAAUCUGCGAUAAGCGCCGGUAAGGUGAUAUGAACCGUUAUAACCGGCGAUACCCGAAUGGGGAAACCCAGUGUGACUCGUCACACUAUCAUUAACUGAAUCCAUAGGUUAAUGAGGCGAACCGGGGGAACUGAAACAUCUAAGUACCCCGAGGAAAAGAAAUCAACCGAGAUUCCCCCAGUAGCGGCGAGCGAACGGGGAGGAGCCCAGAGCCUGAAUCAGCAUGUGUGUUAGUGGAAGCGUCUGGAAAGGCGCGCGAUACAGGGUGACAGCCCCGUACACAAAAGCGCAUGUGCUGUGAGCUCGAUGAGUAGGGCGGGACACGUGGUAUCCUGUCUGAAUAUGGGGGGACCAUCCUCCAAGGCUAAAUACUCCUGACUGACCGAUAGUGAACCAGUACCGUGAGGGAAAGGCGAAAAGAACCCCGGCGAGGGGAGUGAAAAAGAACCUGAAACCGUGUACGUACAAGCAGUGGGAGCACAGGUUUACCUGUGUGACUGCGUACCUUUUGUAUAAUGGGUCAGCGACUUAUAUUCUGUAGCAAGGUUAACCGUAUAGGGGAGCCGUAGGGAAACCGAGUCUUAACCGGGCGUUAAGUUGCAGGGUAUAGACCCGAAACCCGGUGAUCUAGCCAUGGGCAGGUUGAAGGUUGGGUAACACUAACUGGAGGACCGAACCGACUAAUGUUGAAAAAUUAGCGGAUGACCUGUGGCUGGGGGUGAAAGGCCAAUCAAACCGGGAGAUAGCUGGUUCUCCCCGAAAGCUAUUUAGGUAGCGCCUCGUGAAUUCAUCUCCGGGGGUAGAGCACUGUUUCGGCUAGGGGGCCAUCCCGGCUUACCAACCCGAUGCAAACUGCGAAUACCGGAGAAUGUUAUCACGGGAGACACACGGCGGGUGCUAACGUCCGUCGUGAAGAGGGAAACAACCCAGACCGCCAGCUAAGGUCCCAAAGUCAUGGUUAAGUGGGAAACGAUGUGGGAAGGCCCAGACAGCCAGGAUGUUGGCUUAGAAGCAGCCAUCAUUUAAAGAAAGCGUAAUAGCUCACUGGUCGAGUCGGCCUGCGCGGAAGAUGUAACGGGGCUAAACCAUGCACCGAAGCUGCGGCAGCGACACUGUGUGUUGUUGGGUAGGGGAGCGUUCUGUAAGCCUGCGAAGGUGGCCUGUGAGGGUUGCUGGAGGUAUCAGAAGUGCGAAUGCUGACAUAAGUAACGAUAAAGCGGGUGAAAAGCCCGCUCGCCGGAAGACCAAGGGUUCCUGUCCAACGUUAAUCGGGGCAGG
This 1348-nucleotide ribosomal RNA is filed under the name Salmonella enterica subsp. enterica serovar Mbandaka. Its description in RNAcentral is "bacterial LSU rRNA". It matches the Rfam family "Bacterial large subunit ribosomal RNA", at positions 1 to 1378 of the family's 2925-position model. The record is from RNAcentral. Lineage: Bacteria; Pseudomonadati; Pseudomonadota; Gammaproteobacteria; Enterobacterales; Enterobacteriaceae.